GUUGCCCUCCUAUUGGGGAGAACUCCGGACGAGAGAACCGCCGUACCCGGUCAGGACAAGACGGCGCACC
RNAcentral lists this non-coding RNA (70 nucleotides) under Deinococcus puniceus. The record is from RNAcentral. Lineage: Bacteria; Thermotogati; Deinococcota; Deinococci; Deinococcales; Deinococcaceae.